Molecule: ribosomal RNA, 460 nt
Filed under: uncultured bacterium
Lineage: Bacteria
Description: partial 16S ribosomal RNA
Rfam family: Bacterial small subunit ribosomal RNA
Source: RNAcentral
CCUACGGGAGGCAGCAGUGAGGAAUAUUGGUCAAUGGGCGCGAGCCUGAACCAGCCAAGUAGCGUGAAGGAUGACUGCCCUACGGGUUGUAAACUUCUUUUAUAAAGGAGUAAAGUGAGACACGUGUGCCUUUUUGUAUGUACUUUACGAAUAAGGAUCGGCUAACUCCGUGCCAGCAGCCGCGGUAAUACGGAGGAUCCGAGCGUUAUCCGGGUUUAUUGGGUUUAAAGGGAGCGUAGGUGGGUUGUUAAGUCAGUUGUGAAAGUCUGCGGCUCAACUGUACAAUUGCAAUUGAUACUGGCAGCCUUGAGUACAGUUGAGGUAGGCGGAAUUCGUGGUGUAGCGGUGAAAUGCUUAGAUAUCACGAAGAACUCCGAUGGCGAAGGCAGCUUACUAAACUGCCACUGACAUUGAUGCUCGAAAGUGUGGGUAUCAAACAGGAUUAGAUACCCUAGUAGUC